GACGAACGCUGGCGGCGUGCUUAACACAUGCAAGUCGAACGAAGUGGCGAACGGGUGAGUAACGCGUAAUCAACCUGCCCUUCAGAGGGGGACAACAGUUGGCAACGACUGCUAAUACCGCAUACUGAAGGAGGGGAUUGAGUCUGAUUGGCUAGUUGGAGGGGUAACGGCCCACCAAGGCGAUGAUCAGUAGCCGGUCUGGGGGGAUGAACGGCCAAAGUGGGACUGAGACAAGGCCCAGACUCGUACGGGAGGGAGCAGGGGGGAAUCUUCCGCAAUGGACGAAAGUCUGACGGAGCAACGGCGCGUGAGGGAUGACGGCCUUCGGGUGGUAAAGCUCUGUUAAGCGGGACGCGGUACCGGAAUAGAAAGCCACGGCUAACUACGUGCCAGCAGCCGCGGUAAUUC
This 408-nucleotide ribosomal RNA is filed under the name uncultured bacterium. Its description in RNAcentral is "partial 16S ribosomal RNA". It matches the Rfam family "Bacterial small subunit ribosomal RNA", at positions 28 to 526 of the family's 1533-position model. The record is from RNAcentral.